Molecule: non-coding RNA, 45 nt
Filed under: Schistosoma haematobium
Lineage: Eukaryota; Metazoa; Platyhelminthes; Trematoda; Strigeidida; Schistosomatidae
Source: RNAcentral
AUCCAGAUGAAGAGUCUCAAAUAAGACAAAACGUGCGUCCUGAAU